AGCUUUACAUAAACUGUUUCAUUACAAAAACAGCAGAACCAUUUACACAAACUGUUGCUUCAUAGCAGCAUUACAUAAACUGUUGCUUCACAGCAGCAUUACAAAAACAGCAGCUUCACAGCAGCAUUACAUAAACUGUUGCUUCUUUACAAAAUUAUGACCCCCAAAAAUUUACAGACAGCACAGCAGCAUUACAUAAAUAGUAUGCUUCUUUACAAAAUUAUGACCCCCAAAAAUAAACAGUAUGCUUCUUUACAAACAGUAUGCACAGCAGCAUUACCACACAUCAUU
This 291-nucleotide long non-coding RNA is filed under the name Nicotiana benthamiana. Its description in RNAcentral is "long non-coding RNA (NBEN_LNC004031)". The record is from RNAcentral. Lineage: Eukaryota; Viridiplantae; Streptophyta; Magnoliopsida; Solanales; Solanaceae.